UUUUACGCAACAGAUAAUUUCUUUACGAUGUAAAAUUACUCUAAUUGUUAAAUAAACGAUUUUCAAGUAUAAAUGAACGGUAAAUCAUCUUGAUGCGUGUUCUCAUUGUUAAAGGUUAUUUAGAUAAAAAACAUUCAAAGUAUAUAAUUAAUAAAGAGUCGUUAUGAGCUACUACAAUCAAACUUCCUGCUUGCUGUGGAGGUCUACGUAGCAUGGAAAUUUUUCAUUUCACAUUAAUAUGUCACCUACGGAGUCAUAACUGAUUGAUUAAUAAAAAGAUUUCUCUUUUAGUCAAAAUUUUAUCCAUUGAAAGUGACUGUACAAAUCGAAGUAAAGAAAUAUCUCUUCAAUCGGGUUUUUGAUUUUUUAAGACAGAAUCCUACUUUUAACAGUAGGCGUUAAAACAUAUGCAUGUGAAGAUAUAACAGAAAUUGUAAUUGGACUAUCCUAAUCCACGUUACUGUCUAGGUGAGUUUAAAGUAUACACUAUGCGUGAAAGCAUUUUUAUUUAGUUUACAAUAUCAAAUCAUCCGCAUCUGUUUCUCUACGGUUGAUAUCUCUUUUCUCCUUUCUUUUCAGAAGAUGCAACAUGUGAAUCCUUCAAAAUUGGAGAAAUGCAAAGGAUAAUUCCGGAUGUUAUAAAUUUCAAUUGGAACGGGUGCAUCCUUUAGCUCAAUUUGUGCAAUGCGGCAACCAACUAUAAACCAAUAUUAGAUAUCGCUUCUAAAUCAAAGAUUCUAGAAUGAAACGAAUAAGUAGAUGAUGAUCUACUUACGAUAGUUUGCAUUUGGUCCAAAUGACUCAAAAGACUAUCACAUAUUUGCCAACUUUAGCCAAAACAGAUUUCCUAGUCCUAUAGUGUGUUUGUCUUCUAUUUGACUCUUCACCCAAACGCAAUUUGUUGGAAUAUAUGGUGCGCUGUAAUUGGCAUCAUAUAUACUGUCGCUACAUAGAUCCAAAAAUUCAAUAAAAAUCCUAAGUCAUCGGCGAAAUAAGUUGCUUGAUUGAAAUGUACACAAACCAAAAUGUAUCAACAGUUAACAACUUGUUUGCUAAUGCAUACUAGUAGUGUAGUAGCAAUUUAAUAGGCUUGGGGUUUUCAUUUUCGGAUGCACAGCAUAAAGGACGUGAUCGCGACGAUAAUUUGAUUUCAAUUAUUUCACUAAAAAAAGAAGGAAAUGGUGGUCAUUGGUACACCCGUAUUAUCUGAAUGAUCAAAGGUUUCUAAAAGGCUCAAACACAAGUCCAAAGAACUCCAUGCUGCUUGUCCCUGCAUGUCUUGUCCGCCAUUGACAUAUUAGUCAAAAGCAGAAACAUGUAGCAACAAUGUAUUUUAUUAUACACAUGAAAAUGCAUCACUUAACAUCGUAAUUAUAAAAAUUUCGCUUGCU
Molecule: non-coding RNA, 1391 nt
Organism: Schizosaccharomyces pombe (fission yeast)
Lineage: Eukaryota; Fungi; Ascomycota; Schizosaccharomycetes; Schizosaccharomycetales; Schizosaccharomycetaceae
Source: the annotation of a GenBank genome assembly